RNAcentral lists this ribosomal RNA (464 nucleotides) under Elysia sp. 6 JV-2011. RNAcentral describes it as "partial 16S ribosomal RNA". It matches the Rfam family "Bacterial large subunit ribosomal RNA", at positions 1796 to 2607 of the family's 2925-position model. Lineage: Eukaryota; Metazoa; Mollusca; Gastropoda; Plakobranchidae. The record is from RNAcentral.
CGCCUGUUUUAUUCAAAACAUAGCCUAAAGUUAGUAUUUUAGGUGAGACCUGCCCAGUGCUAAUAGUAAACGGCCGCAGUACCUUGACUGUGCUAAGGUAGCAUAAUCAGUUGGCUUUUAAUUGGAGUCGGGAAUGAAUGGAUUAAUAGGGUAAAGCUGUCUCUUUCAUAAUGAAUUGAAUUUACUUAUUAGGUGAAAAUGCCUAAAAAUAGAAAAAAGACGAGAAGACCCUAGGAGUUUUUACUAUAGGUUAAUUAAAAUUAGCCAGCGUUUUUGUUGGGGCGACACAGGAGCAUUAGAAACCUCCUUUAUAAAUUUGCCGACGUAGUAUGAACAAAUAAACUACCCUAGGGAUAACAGCGUAAUUCUUUUAGAGCUUGCGACCUCGAUGUUGGACUAGGAAUUUGGUAGGCUAGCCGCCUAUUUAUAUUGUUCUGUUCGAACUGUCUUUCCUACGUGAUCUG